AAAGGUGGAAUUUGGAAGUUUGACCUAGAAUUGACUUUGUGGUUAUGAGAUCCGAUUGGGGUUCCUGGAGUUGGGGUAUAUCUGUUGUAUCAUUUGUGGCUUGUGUGCAAAAUUUGAGAUCAAUCAGAAAUGAAUUGAUAGAUUUUGGCAUCGUUUGUAGAAUUUGGAAUUCUUUAGUUUUUAUCAAGCUUGAAUUUGGGUGUGAUUCAUGGUUUUAGCUUGUCUUGAUGUGAUUUGAAGGCUCAACUGAGUUCGUAUUGUAUUUUAAGACUUGUUGGUAUAUUUGGUUGAGGUCCCGAGGACCUCGAAUGGAGUUCGUAUGGUUAACAGAUCAAGUUUGAAAGUUGAGAGGUUGUUAUAGUUCACCAACUCUGGUGCAAUCGCACUUGCAAAAUGGUGAUUGCAAGUGCGAGCUCGUAGGUGCGAGCAAGUGAACAUAGAUGUGGUCAAGAAGGAAGUGUGUAGUGAUCACAUGUGUGAAGGAAUUUACGGGCCUGUGUGGCUGCGAAUGUGGCGACUAGAGUGUAGAAGAGAAAUUUGAUUGGCGGCUGAGGAGCACAGAUAUGGAGGAGUUCUGGAGGUGCUGAGUUGCACCUAUGCGUGUGUGGUCGCAGAAGCAGAGGCAGUGGAUCCUUGGGCAAAAUGCAAAAGCUAA
RNAcentral lists this long non-coding RNA (655 nucleotides) under Nicotiana benthamiana. RNAcentral describes it as "long non-coding RNA (NBEN_LNC016119)". Lineage: Eukaryota; Viridiplantae; Streptophyta; Magnoliopsida; Solanales; Solanaceae. The record is from RNAcentral.